This 253-nucleotide ribosomal RNA is filed under the name uncultured bacterium. RNAcentral's name for it is "partial 16S ribosomal RNA". It matches the Rfam family "Bacterial small subunit ribosomal RNA", at positions 524 to 776 of the family's 1533-position model. The record is from RNAcentral.
UACGUAGGGGGCAAGCGUUGUCCGGAAUCAUUGGGCGUAAAGAGCGUGUAGGCGGCUCGAUAAGUCUGCUGUGAAAGUCCAGGGCUCAACCCUGGAAGGCCGGUGGAAACUGUCGGGCUAGAGUCCGGAAGAGGCGAGUGGAAUUCCCGGUGUAGCGGUGAAAUGCGCAGAUAUCAGGAGGAACACCAAUGGCGAAGGCAGCUCGCUGGGACGUGACUGACGCUGAGACGCGAAAGCGUGGGGAGCAAACAGG